Molecule: ribosomal RNA, 497 nt
Filed under: uncultured bacterium
Lineage: Bacteria
Description: partial 16S ribosomal RNA
Rfam family: Bacterial small subunit ribosomal RNA
Source: RNAcentral
GAUGAACGCUGGCGGCAUGCUUAACACAUGCAAGUUGAGCGCUGAAGGUUGGUACUUGUACCAACUGGAUGAGCAGCGAACGGGUGAGUAACGCGUGGGGAAUCUGCCUUUGAGCGGGGGACAACAUUUGGAAACGAAUGCUAAUACCGCAUAAAAACUUUAAACACAAGUUUUAAGUUUGAAAGAUGCAAUUGCAUCACUCAAAGAUGAUCCCGCGUUGUAUUAGCUAGUUGGUGAGGUAAAGGCUCACCAAGGCGAUGAUACAUAGCCGACCUGAGAGGGUGAUCGGCCACAUUGGGACUGAGACACGGCCCAAACUCCUACGGGAGGCAGCAGUAGGGAAUCUUCGGCAAUGGACGAAAGUCUGACCGAGCAACGCCGCGUGAGUGAAGAAGGUUUUCGGAUCGUAAAACUCUGUUGGUAGAGAAGAACGUUGGUGAGAGUGGAAAGCUCAUCAAGUGACGGUAACUACCCAGAAAGGGACGGCUAACUACGUG